This 511-nucleotide long non-coding RNA is filed under the name Meleagris gallopavo (turkey). RNAcentral's name for it is "lncRNA (ENSMGAG00000018594.1)". The record is from RNAcentral. Lineage: Eukaryota; Metazoa; Chordata; Aves; Galliformes; Phasianidae.
GCCAACACAGCCAUCUAAACACUGACAGUAAAGGUAACCACAGACUUCCUCUUCUAUUGCUUAGCUUCUAGCACAAAGCUCACAUUUUCAGCAAGGUUGGUGUUACCCAGACAGACAACUCUUUUUCUCUACAAAUGCUUUUUCAUUUGUCGUCAACUGAGUAAACAAGUGUAUCAUGUUUGUAUAGAAUGAGGGUGCGUUCUGUUCUGUUGGUUACCAAGACAAACGCAGUACAGAAGAAUCCCUCAAAGCAUCCCCUGUUUGGAUGAAAGCCCAGGAACACAAGAACUCAUCUUCAAGAGCACUAUCAGACCGUAGACUCUACGCUACUUAAAAGGGCUAGAAAAAUUUGUCUGAGAAAAUACCAAGGAUAUGAAAACAACAAAGUAGAAAAUAAAAUCUUUAUCCAGCAAAAGCACGUCGAGUGUGAUUUAACUAACAAAUAUUUUAGUUUAAGUCUUUCUUCUGUCACAUUUUAAUUAGUCCCUUCUGCUUCAAAAAAUAUAAAUAC